AGCAGCUUGGCGCAGUGGAAGCGCGGUAUGUCUCUACUCCACCUUGAAUUAAAUACCAGAGUACUAACUCACUAUAGCCGGGCUCAUAACCCGGAGGUCACUGGAUCGAAACCAGUAGCUGCUA
This 124-nucleotide transfer RNA is filed under the name Fusarium equiseti. Its description in RNAcentral is "tRNA-Met". It matches the Rfam family "tRNA". Rfam says of the family: Transfer RNA (tRNA) molecules are approximately 80 nucleotides in length. Their secondary structure includes four short double-helical elements and three loops (D, anti-codon, and T loops). The record is from RNAcentral. Lineage: Eukaryota; Fungi; Ascomycota; Sordariomycetes; Hypocreales; Nectriaceae.